UGAUGUGUAGCUCAAUGGGAGAGCACCGGGUUGUUAACUCGUGGGGAGUUGGUUCAAUUCUAACCACAUCAG
RNAcentral lists this transfer RNA (72 nucleotides) under Axinella corrugata. RNAcentral's name for it is "tRNA-Asn". It matches the Rfam family "tRNA". Rfam says of the family: Transfer RNA (tRNA) molecules are approximately 80 nucleotides in length. Their secondary structure includes four short double-helical elements and three loops (D, anti-codon, and T loops). The record is from RNAcentral. Lineage: Eukaryota; Metazoa; Porifera; Demospongiae; Axinellida; Axinellidae.